Long non-coding RNA from Anser brachyrhynchus (Pink-footed goose), 1304 nucleotides. The record is from Ensembl. NCBI's taxonomy places the organism in Eukaryota, Metazoa, Chordata, Aves, Anseriformes, Anatidae.
GAGGAUCCCAUCUGGGUGCCUGGGAAGCGAGGGGCGCAGCCCCCCCAGGGGCUCGGUUCGAAGGCACAAGGUCGGGGUGGAAGCGCUCCCCUGCCCGCCGACACGGGGGGGCAGCUUCGGCUGCUCCUGGGGGGGGCCAGAAGCAGAGACCCCAGCCCCGGUGCCUCACCUGCGCCUCUCCCACCCGAUGGGGCUUGGGGCUGCCGAGGGCCCCCGAGCACCCUGCUGGUGAAUCAGCCUGCGGCGGUCCUCGCUGCGGAGCCAUCGAGCCCUCCGUGAGGAGGAGGAGGAGGAGGAGGAAGGCGAUCUGGCAGAGAUGAAUCAUCCCCGAGCCUCCUGGGGAUGGCAGAGCCCGGGGGGUGGCUGGCAGUGGGGGGCGGACGGGGGGAGCCAGGCGUGGGGAUGGGACCCGCCUGGGGGGCAGCACCGUGGCCCCCCAUGUGUACCCGAGGGGCUCCUGCCGCCCCGUCCCCUCCCAGCGCUGUGCUGGGGGCUUGCUGGGGACCUGUGGGGCAGCCGCCGUGGUGCCCGGGGGCUGAGCCCCACUGGGGGGCUCACAUGGCAAAGGGGGGGCCAGGCACACCAGACCCCCUCUGUCCCCCCGGCCCCAUCUCCCAGCCCCUGGCCUGCAUCAAAGCCCCCUUUGUGCCACCGCUGCCACCCCCCAGCCACCGUCACCGUCCGGCCUGCGCAGCCCAAAAUAGCAGCGCGCUCACCUGCGGGGGGGGGGCCUGCGCCUGCCCUCGCCCCCCGCUGCUCCAUAUUAAUAAGCCCCUUCCUCCUCCUUCGCCUCCUCCUCUUCCUCCUCCUCCUCCUCCCCGUCCCACCGAGCAGUCCAGCAGCCGCACCGCAGCGCGCCGAAGCCCCCGCCGAAGCCCCCGCCGCUCGGUGCCGGCCGCCCCCGCCAUGGCCGGCCGCAGCCUCGGGCUCUGCCUGCUCCUCCACGCCUGCCUCUGCCUGGCCCAGCUCCGAGGGCCACCAGGAGAGCCCGGCCCGCGAGGGCCCCCCGGUCCGCCAGGAGUGCCGGGAGCGGAUGGCAUUGACGUGAGUGCGGGCGGCGGGGAGCCCGCGCGGGCUGCGGCACAAAGGGGACAUUGUGCCGGGGCAGAGGCUCGGCAGAGGCAGGGGCUGCGAUGCUGACAGGUUCCUGCUCUGCUCUGCUCCAGGGCUGGGGUGCGGGGCCCCCACGGAGCAUCCCCGUGGCUCUGGGCAGCGCCGGUGGCAGCGGGAGCUGGCGCUUGGGGACAGCCUGGGGACAGCAGCCUGUAGCCUCCUCGGGAAACGGGGCCUGAAAUGCUUUUUUG